GCUUACGGCCAUACCAGCCUGAAAGCGCCCGAUCUCGUCAGAUCUCGUAAGCUAAGCAAGGUCGGGCCUGGUUAGUACUUGGAUGGGAGACUUCCUGGGAAUACCAGGUGCUGUAAGCG
This 119-nucleotide ribosomal RNA is filed under the name Hucho hucho (huchen). Lineage: Eukaryota; Metazoa; Chordata; Actinopteri; Salmoniformes; Salmonidae. The record is from RNAcentral.